This 49-nucleotide transfer RNA is filed under the name Schoenus nitens. RNAcentral's name for it is "partial tRNA-Leu". The record is from RNAcentral. Lineage: Eukaryota; Viridiplantae; Streptophyta; Magnoliopsida; Poales; Cyperaceae.
AAAAUCCGUCGAUUUUUUUAUCCAGGAGGGUCCAGUCCCCUCAUCCCCC